RNAcentral lists this ribosomal RNA (460 nucleotides) under uncultured bacterium. RNAcentral's name for it is "partial 16S ribosomal RNA". It matches the Rfam family "Bacterial small subunit ribosomal RNA", at positions 338 to 795 of the family's 1533-position model. The record is from RNAcentral.
CCUACGGGUGGCAGCAGUGAGGAAUAUUGGUCAAUGGCCGCAAGUCUGAACCAGCCAAGUAGCGUGAGGGAUGACGGCCCUACGGGUUGUAAACUUCUUUUAUGUGGGGAUAAAGGUGUCCACGUGUGCCUGGUUUUAGGUAUCGCAUCAAUAAGGGCCCGCUAAUUUUGUGUCAGCAGCCGCGGUAUUACGGAAGGUCCGGGGGUUUUCCGGAUUUAUUGGGUUUAAAGGGAGCGUAGGCCGGUCUUUAAGCGUGCCGUGAAAUUUUGCGGCUCAACCCUGUGAUUGCAGCGUAAACUGGAGACCUUGAGUGCACAGAGGGCAGGCGGAAUUCAUGGUGUAGCGGUGAAAUGCUUAGAUAUCACGAAGAACCCCGAUUGCGAAGGCAAGCGGCCGCAGCGCUACUGACGCUGAGGCUCGAAAGUGCGGGUAUCAAACAGGAUUAGAUACCCGUGUAGUC